GACGAACGCUGGCGGCGUGCCUAAUACAUGCAAGUAGAACGCUGAGGUUUGGUGUUUACACUAGACUGAUGAGUUGCGAACGGGUGAGUAACGCGUAGGUAACCUGCCUCAUAGCGGGGGAUAACUAUUGGAAACGAUAGCUAAUACCGCAUAAGAGUAAUUAACACAUGUUAGUUAUUUAAAAGGAGCAAUUGCUUCACUGUGAGAUGGACCUGCGUUGUAUUAGCUAGUUGGUGAGGUAAAGGCUCACCAAGGCGACGGUACAUAGCCGACCUGAGAGGGUGAACGGCCACAAGGGGACUGAGACACGGCCCUUACUCCUACGGGAGGCAGCAGUGGGGAAUAUUGGACAAUGGACCGAGAGUCUGAUCCAGCAAUUCUGUGUGCACGAUGAAGUUUUUCGGAAUGUAAAGUGCUUUCAGUUGGGAAGAAAGAAAUGACGGUACCAACAGAAGAAGUGACGGCUAAAUACGUGCCAGCAGCCGCGGUAAUACGUAUGUCACGAGCGUUAUCCGGAUUUAUUGGGCGUAAAGCGCGUCUAGGUGGUUAUGUAAGUCUGAUGUGAAAAUGCAGGGCUCAACUCUGUAUUGCGUUGGAAACUGUAUAACUAGAGUACUGGAGAGGUAAGCGGAACUACAAGUGUAGAGGUGAAAUUCGUAGAUAUUUGUAGGAAUGCCGAUGGGGAAGCCAGCUUACUGGACAGAUACUGACGCUAAAGCGCGAAAGCGUGGGUAGCAAACAGG
This 743-nucleotide ribosomal RNA is filed under the name uncultured bacterium. RNAcentral's name for it is "bacterial SSU rRNA". It matches the Rfam family "Bacterial small subunit ribosomal RNA", at positions 28 to 776 of the family's 1533-position model. The record is from RNAcentral.